RNAcentral lists this ribosomal RNA (253 nucleotides) under uncultured bacterium. RNAcentral describes it as "partial 16S ribosomal RNA". It matches the Rfam family "Bacterial small subunit ribosomal RNA", at positions 524 to 776 of the family's 1533-position model. The record is from RNAcentral.
UACGUAGGGGGCAAGCGUUGUCCGGAUUUACUGGGCGUAAAGAGCGUGUAGGCGGCCAAGCAGGUCCGUUGGGAAAACUGGAGGCUUAACCUCCAGACGUCGACGGAAACCGCGUGGCUAGAGUCCGGAAGAGGAGAGUGGAAUUCCUGGUGUAGCGGUGAAAUGCGCAGAUAUCAGGAAGAACACCAAUGGCGAAGGCAGCUCUCUGGGACGGUACUGACGCUGAGACGCGAAAGCGUGGGGAGCGAACAGG